RNAcentral lists this ribosomal RNA (258 nucleotides) under uncultured bacterium. Its description in RNAcentral is "partial 16S ribosomal RNA". It matches the Rfam family "Archaeal small subunit ribosomal RNA", at positions 474 to 733 of the family's 1478-position model. The record is from RNAcentral.
UACCAGCACCCCGAGUGGUCGGGACGAUUAUUGGGCCUAAAGCAUCCGUAGCCGGUCUACAAGUCUUCCGUUAAAUCCACCUGCUUACAGAUGGGCUGCGGAAGAUACUAUAGGAGCUAGGAGGCGGGAGAGGCAAGCGGUACUCAGUGGGUAGGGGUAAAAGUCCUUGAUCCAUUGAAGACCACCAGUGGCGAAGGCGGCUUGCCAGAACGCGCUCGACGGUGAGGGAUGAAAGCUGGGGGAGCAAACCGGAUUAGA